RNAcentral lists this transfer RNA (21 nucleotides) under Moraea ardesiaca. RNAcentral's name for it is "partial tRNA-Phe". The record is from RNAcentral. Lineage: Eukaryota; Viridiplantae; Streptophyta; Magnoliopsida; Asparagales; Iridaceae.
UAAAAGGUCGGGAUAGCUCGU